Molecule: unclassified non-coding RNA, 191 nt
Filed under: uncultured Ascomycota
Lineage: Eukaryota; Fungi; Ascomycota
Description: sequence contains ITS1
Source: RNAcentral
CUGAGUUAGGGUCUUCUACGGCCCGAUCUCCAACCCUUUGUUAAUUCUACCACGUUGCUUCGGCGGGCCCGCUCCUCUGGGAGCCGCCGGAGGACCACUAUGGUUCUCUGGCCCGUUUGCCCGUCGAUGGCCUCGAACUUCUAAACUCUUGAUAAAUUAUGUUGUCUGAGUCUAAAUGUUAAAUCGUUUUA